CCACCAGGUCUAGCAUUGGGAU
Molecule: microRNA, 22 nt
Filed under: Homo sapiens (human)
Lineage: Eukaryota; Metazoa; Chordata; Mammalia; Primates; Hominidae
Description: hsa-miR-4733-3p
Source: miRBase by way of RNAcentral